CAUUAUUUCAAGAAAUUUUAACAAAUAAACAAUUUGGGAUUUUUUCUAGGUUUAGGGUUUUUUCUUUUUGCUUAAGAAUUUUGUUUUGUUUGUGGAACUUGUAGCUUCUUUAUAACCCUUCUUGCAAGAUUCACUAACAAUCUUCACACUUUUCUUGAAAAAUACCUUCAGAUCUUUACUUUUCUCCUUCAUAUGUAAAUGAAAAUUUGCCAUUAUUUCAAGAAAUUUUAACAAAUAAACAAUUUGGGAUUUUUUCUAGGUUUAGGGUUUUUAAUUUUUGCUUAAGAAUUUUGUUUUGUUUGUGAAGCUUGUAGCUUCUUUAUAUAAAGAAAAGAGAUUGAGUGGAGAUACAACGGACUAUGACACGUGGAAGAUGUUGAUUGGUUAGAGGUUUUUGAGAGUUCUGUUCUUAGUACUACUUCGCCGUUUGAUUAUGGGGAAUGGUGAUAGUGGACUUGGUGCCUGUGUCGUAAAAGCCCAAUUUAAUUGGGUGAUAAAUAAUCUUACUUGGCAAUCUGGCACACAU
This 526-nucleotide long non-coding RNA is filed under the name Aquilegia coerulea. RNAcentral's name for it is "long non-coding RNA (ACOE_LNC002144)". Lineage: Eukaryota; Viridiplantae; Streptophyta; Magnoliopsida; Ranunculales; Ranunculaceae. The record is from RNAcentral.